AUGCGUGCAGGCAUAGAGGAGGUCUUUCCGUUAGCAGUGCACAGACACUACAGGUGGCAUAUUACCAAGAAGGCUGGAGAGACGCUAGGACCAUUCUUUGCUGACCGUCCAGAGCUACACAAGGCAUUCGAGUUGUGUGUGGACCACAACUUGACAGUGGAGGAGUUUGAACAGAGCUGGACGGCUAUGAUUGAAACAUACCAAGUCCAAGACAAUGAGACACUUAAUAGCCUGUGGGAGAAGCGAAUGUACUAGGUGCCAGCCUACUUCAUGCAGUGCUUCUAUCCAUUUCUGUAGACUACGCAACGCAGCGAGGGGUUCAAUGCUGUUUUGAAGCAUUAUGUGAGCCCUGGCAACUCAUUGUUGCAGUUUGCCAAGCAAUAUUCAGCUUUGCAACAGAAAAUACUGGGAUUUGAGCUACAGCAAGAAGCAAACACCGCACUCAAGCAACCUAAAUUGCUAACAAAUUUACCGAUGGAGAGGCAGAUGAGCAAGAUAUACACCAACAAGAUAUUUAACAAGUAA
This 525-nucleotide ribosomal RNA is filed under the name Triticum aestivum (bread wheat). Its description in RNAcentral is "partial small subunit ribosomal RNA". The record is from RNAcentral. Lineage: Eukaryota; Viridiplantae; Streptophyta; Magnoliopsida; Poales; Poaceae.